UGCUGCUAUGAUUUUAUGAUCGUGGUUUUGUGCAAAACAAGUGGAUAGAUCCCAACACAACAAGUUCGUUGUUUCAACUUAGAGUUCGUUAAAUCCGGGCUUUAUUUAAAGGAAAGUAAAGUGGAAGAAGAUUAUUUUUUUGCCAUAUUAGGCUAAAAGGGCGACGAGGCGAAAAGGAUUCAUGAAUAGUCACUGACAGGUACAGACGACUGAUUUACCGAUCCGCCCGCUUAGGAUUCUAUUCUGCUGUCUUGGAGUGCUCGGUUGUCCGGAGCCUGCGUCUUGGUACAGUCUUUUGCCAUUGUACAUAUGUAUGUGGUUCAGGGGUAUGACGGGGCCCUGUCCCGUCUUG
Long non-coding RNA from Lycium barbarum (goji berry), 352 nucleotides. RefSeq lists it as uncharacterized. The transcript is spliced from 3 exons. NCBI's taxonomy places the organism in Eukaryota, Viridiplantae, Streptophyta, Magnoliopsida, Solanales, Solanaceae. The record is from RefSeq and is a predicted model, not a curated record.